This 500-nucleotide ribosomal RNA is filed under the name uncultured bacterium. Its description in RNAcentral is "partial 16S ribosomal RNA". It matches the Rfam family "Bacterial small subunit ribosomal RNA", at positions 30 to 523 of the family's 1533-position model. The record is from RNAcentral.
AUUGAACGCUGGCGGAAUGCUUUACACAUGCAAGUCGAACGGCAGCACGGACUUCGGUCUGGUGGCGAGUGGCGAACGGGUGAGUAACAUAUCGGAACGUAUCCAAUAAUGGGGGAUAACGAGUCGAAAGAUUCGCUAAUACCGCAUACGCCAUACGGGGGAAAGCUGGGGACCUUCGGGCCUGGCGUUAAUGGAGCGGCCGAUAACUGAUUAGCUAGUUGGUGAGGUAAAGGCUCACCAAGGCGACGAUCAGUAGCUGGUCUGAGAGGACGACCAGCAACACUGGAACUGAGACACGGUCCAGACUCCUACGGGAGGCAGCAGUGGGGAAUUUUGGACAAUGGGCGCAAGCCUGAUCCAGCCAUUCCGCGUGAGUGAAGAAGGCCUUCGGGUUGUAAAGCUCUUUCGCAAGGGAAGAAAACUUAGCCACUAACAUUGGUUGAGGUUGACGGUACCUUGAUAAGAAGCACCGGCUAACUACGUGCCAGCAGCCGCCGUAA